GAGAAUGUGACUUAGUGGUAGAGUGUUUGCCUUGCAUGCAAGAGGCUGUCUUUUCUCU
RNAcentral lists this transfer RNA (58 nucleotides) under Dipodomys ordii (Ord's kangaroo rat). Lineage: Eukaryota; Metazoa; Chordata; Mammalia; Rodentia; Heteromyidae. The record is from Rfam by way of RNAcentral.